RNAcentral lists this ribosomal RNA (473 nucleotides) under uncultured bacterium. Its description in RNAcentral is "bacterial SSU rRNA". It matches the Rfam family "Bacterial small subunit ribosomal RNA", at positions 335 to 799 of the family's 1533-position model. The record is from RNAcentral.
ACUCCUACGGGAGGCAGCAGUGGGGAAUAUUGGACAAUGGGCGAAAGCCUGAUCCAGCCAUGCCGCGUGUGUGAAGAAGGUCUUCGGAUUGUAAAGCACUUUAAGUUGGGAGGAAGGGCAGUAAGUUAAUACCUUGCUGUUUUGACGUUACCAACAGAAUAAGCACCGGCUAACUUCGUGCCAGCAGCCGCGGUAAUACGAAGGGUGCAAGCGUUAAUCGGAAUUACUGGGCGUAAAGCGCGCGUAGGUGGUUCGGCAAGUUGGAUGUGAAAUCCCCGGGCUCAACCUGGGAACUGCAUCCAAAACUACUGAGCUAGAGUACGGUAGAGGGUGGUGGAAUUUCCUGUGUAGCGGUGAAAUGCGUAGAUAUAGGAAGGAACACCAGUGGCGAAAGGCGACCACCUGGACUGAUACUGACACUGAGGUGCGAAAGCGUGGGAGCAAACAGGAUUAGAUACCCUGGUAGGAUAGCG